Molecule: ribosomal RNA, 498 nt
Filed under: uncultured bacterium
Lineage: Bacteria
Description: partial 16S ribosomal RNA
Rfam family: Bacterial small subunit ribosomal RNA
Source: RNAcentral
GACGAACGCUGGCGGCGUGCCUAAUACAUGCAAGUCGAACGAGAGCGACCGGUGCUUGCACUGGUCAAUCUAGUGGCGAACGGGUGAGUAACACGUGGGUAACCUGCCCAUCAGAGGGGGUUAACAUCCGGAAACGGAUGCUAAAACCGCAUAGGUCUUCGAACCGCAUGGUUUGAAGAGGAAAAGAGGCGCAAGCUUCUGCUGAUGGAUGGACCCGCGGUGCAUUAGCUAGUUGGUGAGGUAACGGCUCACCAAGGCCGUGAUGCAUAGCCGACCUGAGAGGGUGAUCGGCCACAUUGGGACUGAGACACGGCCCAAACUCCUACGGGAGGCAGCAGUAGGGAAUCUUCCGCAAUGGACGCAAGUCUGACGGAGCAACGCCGCGUGAGUGAAGAAGGUUUUCGGAUCGUAAAACUCUGUUGUUAGAGAAGAACAAGUGCUAGAGUAACUGUUAGCGCCUUGACGGUAUCUAACCAGAAAGCCACGGCUAACUACGUG